ACGCUGGCGGCGUGCUCACACAUGCAAGUCGAACGAACCUUCGGGUUAGUGGCGGACGGGUGAGUAACGCGUGAGAAUCUGCCCUCAGGAGGGGGAUAACGGUUGGAAACGACCGCUAAUACCCCAUAUGCCGAGAGGUGAAAAGAAAUUCGCCUGAGGAUGAGCUCGCGUCUGAUUAGCUAGUUGGUGUGGUAAUGGCGCACCAAGGCUUCGAUCAGUAGCUGGUCUGAGAGGAUGAUCAGCCACACUGGGACUGAGACACGGCCCAGACUCCUACGGGAGGCAGCAGUGGG
RNAcentral lists this ribosomal RNA (293 nucleotides) under uncultured bacterium. Its description in RNAcentral is "partial 16S ribosomal RNA". It matches the Rfam family "Bacterial small subunit ribosomal RNA", at positions 33 to 358 of the family's 1533-position model. The record is from RNAcentral.